CCUACGGGUGGCAGCAGUAGGGAAUAUUGCUCAAUGGGGGAAACCCUGAAGCAGCAACGCCGCGUGGAGGAUGAAGGUUUUCGGAUUGUAAACUCCUUUUGUUAGAGAGGAUAGUGACGAUGUCUAACGAAUAAGCACCGGCUAACUCCGUGCCAGCAGCCGCGGUAAUACGGAGGGUGCAAGCGUUACUCGGAAUUACUGGGCGUAAAGUGCGCGUAGGCGGGAUAGCAAGUCAGAUGUGAAAUCCUAGGGCUUAACCAGAGAACUGCAUUUGAAACUGUUAUUCUAGAGUAUGGGAGAGGUAGGUAGAAUUCCUGGUGUAGGGGUAAAAUCCGUAGAGAUCAAGAGGAAUACUCAUGGCGAAGGCGACCUGCUAGAACAUAACUGACGCUGAUGCGCGAAAGCGUGGGGAGCAAACAGGAUUAGAUACCCUAGUAGUC
RNAcentral lists this ribosomal RNA (440 nucleotides) under uncultured bacterium. Its description in RNAcentral is "partial 16S ribosomal RNA". It matches the Rfam family "Bacterial small subunit ribosomal RNA", at positions 338 to 795 of the family's 1533-position model. The record is from RNAcentral.